UUUUAUGGAGUGGAGAUGCCAAACGGGUUGAGUUAACGCGUAGACAACCUGCCCCAAAGGAUGGGGACAACAAUUCCAAAAGGAUUGCUAAUACGGAAUUUGUAUUUCUUCCGCAGGAAGAAGAUAUUAAAGAUGGCCUCUACUUGUAAGCUUUCGCUUUGCGAUGGGUCUGCGUUUGAUUAGCUAGUUGUGGGGGCAACGGCCUACCAAGGCGACGAUCAGUAGCCGGUCUGAGAGGAUGAACGGCCACAUUGGAACUGAGACACGGUCCAGACUCCUUCGGGAGGCAGCAGUGGGGAAUCUUUCCGCAAUGGGCGAAAGCCUGACGGAGCAACGCCGCGUGAGUGAAGAAGGUCUUCGGAUCGUAAAGCUCUGUUGUCGGGGACGAAUGUUGAGACCUAGAACAUAGGUUUCAAAUGACGGUACCUGACGAGGAAGCCACGGCUAACUACGUGCCAGCAGCCGCGGUAAUACGUAGGUGGCGAGCGUUGUCCGGAAUUAUUGGGCGUAAAGGGAGCGCAGGCGGGAAAGUAAGUCUAUCUUAAAAGUGCGGGGCUCAACCCCGUGAGGGGAUAGAAACUAUUUUUCUUGAGUGCAGGAGAGGAAAGCGGAAUUCCUAGUGUAGCGGUGAAAUGCGUAGAUAUUAGGAGGAACACCAGUGGCGAAGGCGGCUUUCUGGACUGCAACUGACGCUGAGGCUCGAAAGCCAGGGGAGCGAACGGGAUUAGAUACCCCGGUAGUCCUGGCCGUAAACGAUGAAUGCUAGAUGUAGGAGGUAUCGACCCCUCCUGUGCCGGAGUUAACGCAAUAAGCAUCCGCCCUGGG
This 825-nucleotide ribosomal RNA is filed under the name uncultured bacterium. RNAcentral describes it as "bacterial SSU rRNA". It matches the Rfam family "Bacterial small subunit ribosomal RNA", at positions 80 to 878 of the family's 1533-position model. The record is from RNAcentral.